GCCCAGACUCCUACGGGAGGCAGCAGUGAGGAAUAUUGGUCAAUGGGCGCGAGCCUGAACCAGCCAAGUCGCGUGAGGGAGGACGGCCCUACGGGUUGUAAACCUCUUUUGCCGGGGAGCAACGGGCGUCACGUGUGGCGCCACUGAGAGUACCCGGAGAAAAAGCAUCGGCUAACUCCGUGCCAGCAGCCGCGGUAAUACGGAGGAUGCGAGCGUUAUCCGGAUUUAUUGGGUUUAAAGGGUGCGCAGGCGGCGUGUCAAGCAAGCGGUAAAAUAGCGGGGCUCAACCCCGUCGAGCCGUUUGAACUGGCGCGCUUGAGUUCAGGCGAGGUAGGCGGAAUUCGUGGUGUAGCGGUGAAAUGCAUAGAUAUCACGAAGAACUCCGAUUGCGAAGGCAGCUUACCAGUCUGCGACUGACGCUCAGGCACGAAAGUGUGGGUAUCGAACAGGAUUAGAUACCCGUGUAAC
This 468-nucleotide ribosomal RNA is filed under the name uncultured bacterium. RNAcentral describes it as "bacterial SSU rRNA". It matches the Rfam family "Bacterial small subunit ribosomal RNA", at positions 329 to 795 of the family's 1533-position model. The record is from RNAcentral.